UCCAGCAAGCACAAAACUGAAACCAAGUUUUACCAUCCUCUAUCUAUCUAUAUAUUCAACCCCUCACCACCCCCUCUCCCCCUACCUCCGAUCAAAACUCUCUCUCUCUCUCUCUCUCUCUCUCUCUCUCUCUCUCAAGCACACAAUUGUUGGGUUUGGCUUCCUACCCUUAUUUAAAUGAAGGCGUAUCAAAAAAAGAAGAAAAAAAAAGGGCAUGCGUGCAGCUAUUUGGAAUGGUUGGAAUCGGUAAAAGAGGUUGUUUAUGUUGCGGGUCAUCUGCUGCGGGUGAUUUGCUAUUAUCAUGACUUGUAGUUAUAAACACAUAACAAUUUAAUCUAAAUCAUUGAUACGUCUUAAAUUCAGCUGCACUAGCACAUGUUAAAUUCAAAGUUGAAAUUGCUCUUCUCAGAGUUGUCAAGUCAUGUUCGUCUUACCCAUAAGAAUCUCAUGCAAAAGUAAAUAGAACGACAUCAACUUUCAUGUUUUC
This is a long non-coding RNA of Prunus dulcis (almond), 487 nucleotides long. RefSeq lists it as uncharacterized. The record is from RefSeq and is a predicted model, not a curated record. The transcript has 3 exons. Lineage: Eukaryota; Viridiplantae; Streptophyta; Magnoliopsida; Rosales; Rosaceae.